RNAcentral lists this ribosomal RNA (449 nucleotides) under uncultured bacterium. RNAcentral describes it as "SSU rRNA". It matches the Rfam family "Bacterial small subunit ribosomal RNA", at positions 26 to 518 of the family's 1533-position model. The record is from RNAcentral.
AGAGCGAACGCUGGCGGCAGGCCUAACACAUGCAAGUCGAGCGCCCGUAGCAAUACGGGAGCGGCAGACGGGAUAGUAACACGUGGGAACGUACCCUUUGGUUCGGAACAACACAGGGAAACUUGUGCUAAUACCGGAUAAGCCCUUACGGGGAAAGAUUUAUUGCCAAAGGAUCGGCCCGCGUCUGAUUAGCUUGUUGGUGAGGUAACGGCUCACCAAGGCUACGAUCAGUAGCUGGUCUGAGAGGAUGAUCAGCCUCACUGGGACUGAGACACGGCCCAGACUCCUACGGGAGGCAGCAGUGGGGAAUAUUGGACAAUGGGCGCAAAGCCUGAUCCAGCCAUGCCGCGUGGAUGAUGAAAGGCCCUAGGGUUGUAAAGUCCUUUCGACGGGAAGAUAAUGACGGUACCCGUAGAAGAAGCCCCGGCUAACUUCGUGCCAGCAGCCGC